GGGAUCGAAGAUGAUUAGAUACCAUCGUAGUCUAAACCAUAAACUAUGCUGACUCGGGAUUGUUAAUAGUUAUUAUUUUGACAUUAGCAGCACCGUACGCGAAAGCAAAGUCUUUGGGUUCUGGGGGGAGUAUGGUCGCAAGGCUGAAACUUAAACGAAUUGACGGAAGGGCACCAUCAGGCGUGGAGCCUGCGGCUCAAUUUGACUCAACUCGGGGAAACUUAGCAGGGCAGGACAAAAGUAGGAUUGACAGAUUGAAAGCUCUUUCUUGAUUAUUUGGGUGGUGGUGCAUGGCCGUUUUUAGUUGGUGGUGUGAAUUGUCUGGUUAAUUCCGUUAACGAACGAGACCUCAACCUACUAAAUAGUAGAACCAUUCUUUCGGAUGGGGACUGUACUUCUUAGAGGGACUUUUCGCUUUUACCGGAAGGAAGUUCGUG
RNAcentral lists this ribosomal RNA (437 nucleotides) under Labyrinthulomycetes sp. RNAcentral describes it as "SSU rRNA". It matches the Rfam family "Eukaryotic small subunit ribosomal RNA", at positions 994 to 1449 of the family's 1831-position model. Lineage: Eukaryota; Bigyra. The record is from RNAcentral.